UGCCAGCCGCCGCGGUAAUACUGAAGGUGCAAGCGUUAAUCGGAAUCACUGGGCGUAAAGGGCGUGUAGGCGGAUGCAUUAGUCAGGGGUGAAAGCCAUGGGCUCAACCUGUGAACUGCCUUUGAUACUAUGCAUCUAGAGUCUGUGAGAGGAUGGCGGAAUACCCAGUGUAGAGGUGAAAUUCGUAGAUAUUGGGUAGAACACCAGUGGCGAAGGCGGCCAUCUGGCACAGAACUGACGCUGAGGCGCGAAAGCGUGGGGAGCAAACAGGAUUAGAUA
RNAcentral lists this ribosomal RNA (279 nucleotides) under uncultured bacterium. RNAcentral describes it as "partial 16S ribosomal RNA". It matches the Rfam family "Bacterial small subunit ribosomal RNA", at positions 506 to 784 of the family's 1533-position model. The record is from RNAcentral.